AAUUCUCGGCAACGGAUAUCUCGAUUCUCGCAUCGAUGAAGAACGUAGCAAAAUACGAUACUUGGUGUGAAUUGACAAAUAAUAUAUAUAGUCUUUGAACACAAGUUGCGCCCGAAGCCAUUAGGUCGAGCGCACGUCUGCCUGGGCGUCA
RNAcentral lists this ribosomal RNA (151 nucleotides) under Nicotiana attenuata. RNAcentral's name for it is "rRNA 5_8S_rRNA". It matches the Rfam family "5.8S ribosomal RNA". Rfam says of the family: 5.8S ribosomal RNA (5.8S rRNA) is a component of the large subunit of the eukaryotic ribosome. The record is from Rfam by way of RNAcentral. Lineage: Eukaryota; Viridiplantae; Streptophyta; Magnoliopsida; Solanales; Solanaceae.